This 253-nucleotide ribosomal RNA is filed under the name uncultured bacterium. Its description in RNAcentral is "partial 16S ribosomal RNA". It matches the Rfam family "Bacterial small subunit ribosomal RNA", at positions 524 to 776 of the family's 1533-position model. The record is from RNAcentral.
CACGUAGGGGGCGAGCGUUGUCCGGAUUUACUGGGCGUAAAGAGCUCGUAGGCGGCUUGUCACGUCGGGUGUGAAAGCCCGGGGCUUAACCCCGGGUCUGCAUUCGAUACGGGCUAGCUAGAGUGUGGUAGGGGAGAUCGGAAUUCCUGGUGUAGCGGUGAAAUGCGCAGAUAUCAGGAGGAACACCGGUGGCGAAGGCGGAUCUCUGGGCCAUUACUGACGCUGAGGAGCGAAAGCGUGGGGAGCGAACAGG